AGAUUGAACGCUGGCGGUAGGCCUAACACAUGCAAGUCGAGCGGCAGCACGGGUACUUGUACCUGGUGGCGAGCGGCGGACGGGUGAGUAAUGCCUAGGAAUCUGCCUGGUAGUGGGGGAUAACGCUCGGAAACGGACGCUAAUACCGCAUACGUCCUACGGGAGAAAGCAGGGGACCUUCGGGCCUUGCGCUAUCAGAUGAGCCUAGGUCGGAUUAGCUAGUUGGUGAGGUAAUGGCUCACCAAGGCGACGAUCCGUAACUGGUCUGAGAGGAUGAUCAGUCACACUGGAACUGAGACACGGUCCAGACUCCUACGGGAGGCAGCAGUGGGAAUAUUGGACAAUGGGCGAAAGCCUGAUCCAGCCAUGCCGCGUGUGUGAAGAAGGUCUUCGGAUUGUAAAGCACUUUAAGUUGGGAGAAGGUUGUAACCUAAUACGUUGCAACUUUGACGUUACCGACAGAAUAAGCACCGGCUAACUUCGUGCCAGCAGCCGACG
RNAcentral lists this ribosomal RNA (498 nucleotides) under uncultured soil bacterium. RNAcentral's name for it is "bacterial SSU rRNA". It matches the Rfam family "Bacterial small subunit ribosomal RNA", at positions 26 to 519 of the family's 1533-position model. The record is from RNAcentral.